RNAcentral lists this transfer RNA (72 nucleotides) under Clostridiales bacterium. RNAcentral describes it as "tRNA-Asp". It matches the Rfam family "tRNA". From Rfam's summary of the family: Transfer RNA (tRNA) molecules are approximately 80 nucleotides in length. Their secondary structure includes four short double-helical elements and three loops (D, anti-codon, and T loops). The record is from RNAcentral. Lineage: Bacteria; Bacillati; Bacillota; Clostridia; Eubacteriales.
GGAGCUUGUGGUGUAAUGGUAGCAUAUCUGACUGUCGAUCAGAAGGCUGGAGUUCGAACCUCCCAGGUUCCG